CGGGGAUUGGCGCAAUUGGUUAGCGCGCACGGUUCGGAACCGUGAGGCUGAUGGUUCGAGUCCAUUAUCCCCGACAA
Molecule: transfer RNA, 77 nt
Filed under: Candidatus Shapirobacteria bacterium CG2_30_35_20
Lineage: Bacteria; Candidatus Shapironibacteriota
Also listed under: 4 other names
Description: tRNA-Pro
Rfam family: tRNA
About the family: Transfer RNA (tRNA) molecules are approximately 80 nucleotides in length. Their secondary structure includes four short double-helical elements and three loops (D, anti-codon, and T loops). Further hydrogen bonds mediate the characteristic L-shaped molecular structure. tRNAs have two regions of fundamental functional importance: the anti-codon, which is responsible for specific mRNA codon recognition, and the 3' end, to which the tRNAs corresponding amino acid is attached (by aminoacyl-tRNA synthetases). tRNAs cope with the degeneracy of the genetic code in two manners: having more than one tRNA (with a specific anti-codon) for a particular amino acid; and 'wobble' base-pairing, i.e. permitting non-standard base-pairing at the 3rd anti-codon position.
Source: RNAcentral